This 422-nucleotide long non-coding RNA is filed under the name Mytilus galloprovincialis (Mediterranean mussel). The record is from RNAcentral. Lineage: Eukaryota; Metazoa; Mollusca; Bivalvia; Mytilida; Mytilidae.
UUUCUACUUUUUUACUUAGGAUGUACUUAGGUGAGGUUUUGGAAUUUGUGUCAAAUGUUCGGACUCAUUGGAGUUUUUCCAUACAAUACAAUGUAAAAUAUUUUGCCCCAUAACACCCAUUUAUUUUUUCAUAUAAGACUUAAUAGCUCAUGAAAGGUCAUUUACCAAAAUUUUAAAAGAUUCUUUAUUUUCUUUCUUUUAUUUUGAGACCCGUAUCAUACCAAUGCAAAUAUAAGGUAAAAGUCCGAGUCAGCCUUUUCCCGUCAUAUUUUAAAUCUCAAAUAUCUCGAAAAGGAGGUCCAUGACCUAUUAAUAUUUUUAGCUUAUCUUUAUCCUUCAUUGAUGCUCUACCAGCUUAUAGUAUCAAUUUUAAUUUCUUAAUUUCUUAAUUUUUACCUAACCUCACCUAAGUACAUCCUUAA